AGAAAGAAGAAGAGAAGAGAAGAAACUAGAGAGGGAGAAGGCCACGGUUUUGGGAGGAAAAAAGAGCAAAAAUCGGACAGCAAGCUGCCACGACGAUUCAGCGAGCCAAAAAAAGUUCCGAGGCGCGAUUUCGGCAAGUUCUAGCCAAUUUCGGGAAAGGUGCUAAGGACAUGGUUGGGAAUUCGGAUAGGGCACAUUAUAGGGGAGGUGCUGUCCGAUUUCCGUUAACGCCUUAACUAGUUAAGGAACUAGUCGAGAAUGCGAACGAGGGGAUGAGUUCUAGGAAUACUCGUGUGUAACCUAAGGAGCUGAAAAGUCUAAGGUUGUUAAUACUCGUAUUGCUUUCGUGUUACCUAGGUUCAAAGGACGACGAGGCGAACGGGAUAAAGAGUAACCCGUAAGAGGUAUGUAAAGCUAUCUUCUUUUCUCUUGGCAUGUCUUAGCCUUAAGUGAUUGAUAAACGGAAUGUGGGGAUAAUUCCAUUCAUAGAACUCCAAGUAUGAAUCAUAAGUCUUAUUUACUCCUCGAUGGUAGAAUUCCUAUACUAGUUGAGUUAUUGCCUCUCAAGGAUUAUAUACGAUGGAGAGUAGCAAGUAUGUGAAGCUACCUUUCCUUCUUUUGGCAUGUUUUGGCAUAAGUAUGUAAAGCUACCCUUCUUCUCUCUUGAUAUGCCCUUGACAUAAGUUAUGAUGUUAUGAUGAAAUGUUUAUGGUACCGAGUCCCUUAAUAGGCCAAGUAUGAUAUAUGUUACUAUCUAAGGAUCGGGCCGUACGUUCCACGGCACAUAUGUAUAUAAUGAUUUUAUGAGGAAAAGUAGAGGGUAUGUAAAGCUUAUUCUCUUUCUUCUUUUGGCAUGGCCCAUAGAAAGCCACGGACGAAGAAUGCGCAAAGUCCACAAGAAGCUCUUAUUCUUAAGUACACUAAGAUGGCUAACGUUUUUAAUUUCCUAGAACUUAUGUCCUUUUGCCUCGAUUCAUGUGAAAGUAUUCAACCAUCCUAAGUCGGUAUAAUUUAGGUUGUGGUAUAAAUCAUGACUCCUAUUCACUCCUUUAAGCUAGAACUCUUCCAAUAAUUGAACUAUGUCUUCUCAAGUUUUUCUAUACCUUGGGAAGUAAUAAGUAGGUAAAGUUAAUCUUUUUUUUUGCAUGAACUUUAUGAAACAAAUAGACGAAGUAUGGGUGAUCCAAAGGAAGCCCCAUUCUCAAGGCCACUAAGAUGGCCAUUUUCAUAACUUCCAAAAGAUAUUUUAUUACGCUUUGAUACGAGUAGAUGACUCCAAAAGUGCUACUUUGAUGCAAGCCACAAGGACACUCCAAAGGUACUUGUUAUGGCUAUUGUCUUAAUUUUUGAGUGAUAGUUCAUUUUGAUUAUUUUAAUACGUCCCCGAUGAUGUUUUAAAUUGCAUAUGGUUACUUACUACUUCAUUCGGGUAUACUGUAAUACAUCUUUCACCGAGUCUCGAGCCGACUAUAAUAUAAUUAUAUGAUAUACGGAUCGGGCCGAACGUUCCUCGGCAUUACUAUAUAAUAUAUGAAUCGGGACGAACGUUCCUCGGCAUUACUAUAUAAUAUAUGGAUCGGGCCGAACGUUCCUCGGCAUUACUAUAUAAUAUCUGGAUCGGGCCGAACGUUCCUCGACAUUACUAUAUGAUAUCUGGAUUGGGCCGAAUGUUCCUCGGCAUUACUAUAUGAUAUCUGAAUCGGGCCGAACGUUCCUCGGCAUUACUAUAUGAUAUAUGGAUCGGGCCGAACGUUCUUCGGCAUUACUAUAUGAUAUAUGGAUCGGGCCGAACGUUCCUCGGCAUUACUAUAUGAUAAAUGGAUCGGGCUGUACAUUCCUAGGCAUUAUUAUAUGGCACUAAUAGUACAUAGAUGCUUAUGAUAACAGAGUGAUGUGGUUGUUACACCGGAUCCCCGAACGGACCGGGUAUAGUAUGUGAUGAUAGUAUGUACGACUUUAUUUUAUGAGAUGCAAGUACAGUGGGUUGUUGAAUGUUAUACUUGCCCCCUCCAACCCUAUGUUAGUUGUGCCCUCCUUUUGAUGUUUUAUACUUAUAUACUCAGUACAUAUGUCGUAUUGACCCCCUCUUUCCGGAGGGGGCUACGUUUCAUGCCAACAGGUACAGGUGCGCGCUUUGGGGUUCCGCUAGCUUAGGAUUCCACCUAGAAAAUUUGGAAGAAGCUCCAUUGAAUCGGAGCCGAGCUUUGGUACUAAACCUUUUAUGUAUAUAUUUACUUGAUUACGGGUACGGUGGGGGCCCUGUCCCACCUUAUGUUACUUUUCUUACUCUUAGAGGUCUGUAGACAUAUAUGUGGGUUGUAUAUGUAUAUGUGAACAGUUCUGCCUAUAUGUUACGAUAGCCUCGUCGACUUAUAUAUUGUCUUGCCUGUUGGC
This is a long non-coding RNA of Solanum dulcamara, 2394 nucleotides long. RefSeq lists it as uncharacterized. The transcript is spliced from 3 exons. The record is from RefSeq and is a predicted model, not a curated record. Lineage: Eukaryota; Viridiplantae; Streptophyta; Magnoliopsida; Solanales; Solanaceae.